This 248-nucleotide long non-coding RNA is filed under the name Solanum tuberosum (potato). Its description in RNAcentral is "long non-coding RNA (STUB_LNC011330)". The record is from RNAcentral. Lineage: Eukaryota; Viridiplantae; Streptophyta; Magnoliopsida; Solanales; Solanaceae.
AAAGAUUUGAAGAACAAAUAUAUUCUACAACUAACCAUACAAACAAAUUGUAUAACAAAGAGUUGGAAAAAAGAAGAAGAAAUAAAUCAAAGUGAGACAGGACAUAUCUAGAUGAUAGUCUUACAAUGAGAAAAAUUAGGAUCAAGGAUAUGGAAGCACAUGACUACCGAACAUAAGCAAAGGUGGUUUAUAAAUUUGGCUCGAGAAAGGUACACCUUAAAACUAACAGAUUCAUGAAUCAAUUUGAC